RNAcentral lists this ribosomal RNA (429 nucleotides) under Gemmatimonadota bacterium. RNAcentral's name for it is "Gemmatimonadetes bacterium partial 16S ribosomal RNA". It matches the Rfam family "Bacterial small subunit ribosomal RNA", at positions 355 to 776 of the family's 1533-position model. Lineage: Bacteria; Pseudomonadati; Gemmatimonadota. The record is from RNAcentral.
UAGGGAAUCUUCGGCAAUGGACGAAAGUCUGACCGAGCAACGCCGCGCGAGUGAAGAAGGUUUUCGGAUCGUAAAACUAUGUUGUUUGAGAAGAACAAGGACGAUAGUAACUGAACGUCCCCUGACGGUAUCUAAUCAGAAAGCCACGGCUAACUACGUGCCAGCAGCCGCGGUAUUACGUAGGUGGCAAGCGUUGUCCGGAUUUAUUGGGCGUAAAGCGAGCGCAGGCGGUUUCUUAAGUCUGAUGUGAAAGCCCCCGGCUCAGCCGGGGGGGGUGAUUGGGAGCUGGGAGACUGGAGUGCAGAGGAGGAGGGUGGAAUUCCAUGUGGAGCGGUAAAAUGCGUAGAUAUAGGGAGGAGCACCAGUGGAGAAGGCGGCUCGCUGGAAUGUAACUGACGGUGAGGCUCGAAAGGGUGGGGAGCGAACAGG